CGGUCGCUUCCAUCUGGAGUGUCUGAGGAGACAGACGAGAGCAGACGUCUCCCAGAAGACAGUACUACCGCUGCACCUGGUACACAAUCAGGCACUAGCAGUAGCAGGUCUGAGCCCCCUGCUUCGACGGAGCCACUCCCCGACCCUCUUCACGCAGCUCUGCUCUACGUCUCCUACCAGUCCCACAGGCGCGGGAGCCAGGCCUCCUACCAGCGUGUGCCCACCCUCCGCUUCCAGGGCACCGGCUCCUACGAGCUCAACCCAGCCUGCCCUCGGUCAACUGUGGGCCGUGGUACAGCGACAGCAACGGGAACAGUUCCGUAUCAGCCCUGGGCGGGUACGGCUAGCCAGCGCCGCCGCGGCCCGUCUCCCUCACUGUGCCCAGCACGGUGCACAAGGACGCUACGUCGUCGUCCCACGGUAGCGCCGGCAGCCUGGUGGAAGCGGUGUUGAUAUCAGAGGGCCUGGGCCAUUUCGCUCAGGAUCCGUCCUUCAUCGAGGUGACCAAGCAGGAGCGGCAGACGCGUGUGACAUGACCAUCGAGGAGAUGGAGAACGCAGCCGACAACAUCCUCAACGGCAAACAACCAGCCAGUCCAACGGCAACCUUUUACCCUACAUGCACUGCAACAGGGACCAUGCUGCUUCCCAGGAGCCAGGCCUCAGCCUCAGCGAUGGGCCUGGGGCCGUUCGGGGCCACGGCCUCUGGGGAGAUUGAGGAGCUACUAGGGGCCACUCACCUAGGCAGCACGGGGAUCCGGAGGAU
Non-coding RNA from Salvelinus sp. IW2-2015, 765 nucleotides. Lineage: Eukaryota; Metazoa; Chordata; Actinopteri; Salmoniformes; Salmonidae. The record is from RefSeq and is a predicted model, not a curated record.